RNAcentral lists this ribosomal RNA (1900 nucleotides) under human gut metagenome. Its description in RNAcentral is "bacterial LSU rRNA". It matches the Rfam family "Bacterial large subunit ribosomal RNA", at positions 1123 to 2925 of the family's 2925-position model. The record is from RNAcentral.
UUAAAGAGUGCGUAAUAGCUCACUGGUCGAGUGAAUUUGCGCGGAAAAUUACCGGGGCUAAGCUAUACACCGAAAUUGCGGGUUAUGAUGUAUCUAAUAAUGUGUAUCAUAAUAAGAAGAUAAAUUUUCUGUUAAAAACAUGAAAUGUUUUUAACCAAAAUGUUCAAAAGGAUAAGGUAUACAAGAAAAGGUGCAUAUUAUUAGAUACAUUGUAGCGGUAGAGGAGCAUUCUGUAGUAGGGUGAAGUAUGAUCGAAAGGACAUAUGGACGAGGCAGAAGAGAGAAUGCUGGAAUAAGUAGCGAGAGCAAAGUGAGAAUCUUUGCCGUCGAAAGCCUAAGGUUUCCUGAGGAAGGCUCGUCCUCUCAGGGUAAGUCAGGACCUAAGCCGAGGACAAAAGUCGUAGGCGAUGGACAACUGGUUGAUAUUCCAGUACCACCUUUAGCGUUUGACUGAAGCAGUGACACAGAAGGAUAGGACGAGCGCGGUGAUGGUCAACCGCGUAGGCGGCACGAGGCCGGGAAGCAGUGAAGUACACUUCCCGCAAAGGCUGAGUGUUGACAGGACCGAAAAGAAGUAGGGAAGCGUCCGAGUUCACGCUGGCGAGAAAAGCUGCUAAGGAGCGAAAGGGUGCCUGUACCGCAAACCGACACAGGUAGGCGAGGAGAGAAUCCUAAGACGAGCGGGAGAACCCAUGUUAAGGAACUCGGCAAAAUGACCCUGUAACUUCGGGAUAAAGGGUGCCACAGAGAUGUGGCCGCAGAGAAUAGGCUCAAGCAACUGUUUAGCAAAAACACAGGUCUAUGCAAAACCGAAAGGUGAAGUAUAUGGGCUGACGCCUGCCCGGUGCUGGAAGGUUAAGAGGAGAGGUUAGCGCAAGCGAAGCUUUGAAUUUAAGCCCCAGUAAACGGCGGCCGUAACUAUAACGGUCCUAAGGUAGCGAAAUUCCUUGUCGGGUAAGUUCCGACCCGCACGAAAGGCGUAAUGAUUUGAGCACUGUCUCGACAAUGCAUCCGGUGAAAUUGAAGUACCAGUGAAGAUGCUGGUUACCCGCGCCAGGACGGAAAGACCCCAUGGAGCUUUACUCCAGUUUGGUACUGGGAUUCGGUACUGCAUGUACAGGAUAGGUGGGAGACGAAGAAGUUAGGACGCCAGUCUUAACAGAGUCGCUGUUGGGAUACCACCCUUGCAGUAUUGGGUUUCUAACCAGCCGCUGUGAACCAGCGGUGGGACAAUGCCAGGCGGGGAGUUUGACUGGGGCGGUCGCCUCCGAAAGGGUAUCGGAGGCGCUCAAAGGUUCCCUCAGAAUGGUUGGAAACCAUUCGAAGAGUGCAAAGGCAGAAGGGAGCUUGACUGCGACACCGACGGGUGGAGCAGGUACGAAAGUAGGACUUAGUGAUCCGGUGGUAUAAAGUGGGAUUGCCAUCGCUCAACGGAUAAAAGCUACCCUGGGGAUAACAGGCUUAUCACUCCCAAGAGUUCACAUCGACGGAGUGGUUUGGCACCUCGAUGUCGGCUCAUCGCAUCCUGGGGCUGUAGUAGGUCCCAAGGGUUGGGCUGUUCGCCCAUUAAAGCGGUACGCGAGCUGGGUUCAGAACGUCGUGAGACAGUUCGGUCCCUAUCCGGCGCGGGCGGAGGAUAUUUGAGAGGAGCUGUCCUUAGUACGAGAGGACCGGGAUGGACGGACCACUGGUGUAUCUGUUGUCGACCAACGGCAUGGCAGAGUAGCCAAGUCUGGAAGGGAUAAACGCUGAAGGCAUCUAAGCGUGAAGCCCCCCUCAAGAUGAGAUAUCCCUCCUUCGGGAGUAAGACCCCUUGAAGACUACAAGGUAGAUAGGGCAGAGGUGGAAGCAUGGCAACAUGUGGAGCUGACUGUUACUAAUAGGUCGAGGGCUUAAUCUG